This 341-nucleotide long non-coding RNA is filed under the name Gossypium barbadense (sea-island cotton). RNAcentral's name for it is "long non-coding RNA (GBAR_LNC012954)". The record is from RNAcentral. Lineage: Eukaryota; Viridiplantae; Streptophyta; Magnoliopsida; Malvales; Malvaceae.
AAAAAAAUAUUUUAUCUAAAUAUUUGUAUUACUUUUAUUUUUUUAAUAAUAAUUAUUGGUGUAAUGGUAAAGAAUUUGUUUAUCGAUGUAAUAAUUAUUAAAGUAAAGAAGUACUCAAAGGAACUUUCGAGGAAUACAAAAAACCCUACAGCAAUAGUUCCAAAAUUAACACCUACUAGUAGACUUGCAAACAAUUGACAGCAUAGGGAGCUUCGUUCUAAUGGGAGUGUCUCUCGUAGGCUUGAGUUCUUCCAAUCUAGUGAAAGUGUUUUAAACACUGAGUCUGUCGAAUAGGAAGAUGAUGACUCAUUCACAUUUGAUGAAGUAAUGUAGAGUGUUUA